UGCUGAAAGGCUACAGCAUAGCUCGUCCGUAGGUGAACCUGCGGAAGGAUCAUUAAAGAAUGCCCCAUUUUUUGAAAUGGGUUCUAUUCCCAAACCGUGUAUACAUACCUUUGUUGCUUUGGCAGGCCGCCUUCGGGCGUCGGCUCACGCUGACCGCGCCUGCCAGAGGACCCAAACUCGAUUGUUUAGUGAUGUCUGAGUACUAUAUAAUAAUUAAAACUUUCAACAACGGAUCUCUUGGUUCUGGCAUCGAUGAAGAACGCAGCGAAAUGCGAUAAGUAAUGUGAAUUGCAGAAUUCAGUGAAUCAUCGAAUCUUUGAACGCACAUUGCGCCCCUUGGUAUUCCGAGGGGCAUGCCUGUUCGAGCGUCAUUAUGACCACUCAAGCCUAGCUUGGUAUUGGGGUUCGCGGUCUCGCGGUCCUUAAAAUCAGUGGCGGUGCCAUCUGGCUCCAAGCGUAGUAAUUCAUCUCGCUAUUGGGUCCGGUGGUUGCUUGCCAACAACCCCCAACUUCUAAGGUUGACCUCGGAUCAGGUAGGGAUACCCGCUGAACUUAA
RNAcentral lists this ribosomal RNA (556 nucleotides) under uncultured fungus. Its description in RNAcentral is "eukaryotic LSU rRNA". The stretch from base 218 to 371 matches the Rfam family "5.8S ribosomal RNA". Lineage: Eukaryota; Fungi. The record is from RNAcentral.